Molecule: ribosomal RNA, 497 nt
Filed under: uncultured bacterium
Lineage: Bacteria
Description: partial 16S ribosomal RNA
Rfam family: Bacterial small subunit ribosomal RNA
Source: RNAcentral
GAUGAACGCUGGCGGCGUGCCUAAUACAUGCAAGUCGAGCGAACAGAUGAGGAGCUUGCUCCUCUGACGUUAGCGGCGGGCGGGUGGGUAACACGUGGAUAACCUACCUAUAAGACUGGGAUAACUUCGGGAAACCGGAGCUAAUACCGGAUAAUAUAUUGAACCGCAUGGUUCAAUAGUGAAAGACGGUUUUGCUGUCACUUAUAGAUGGAUCCGCGCCGCAUUAGCUAGUUGGUAAGGUAACGGCUUACCAAGGCAACGAUGCGUAGCCGACCUGAGAGGGUGAUCGGCCACACUGGAACUGAGACACGGUCCAGACUCCUACGGGAGGCAGCAGUAGGGAAUCUUCCGCAAUGGGCGAAAGCCUGACGGAGCAACGCCGCGUGAGUGAUGAAGGUCUUCGGAUCGUAAAACUCUGUUAUUAGGGAAGAACAAAUGUGUAAGUAACUAUGCACGUCUUGACGGUACCUAAUCAGAAAGCCACGGCUAACUACGUG